Molecule: non-coding RNA, 107 nt
Organism: Acanthosepion pharaonis
Lineage: Eukaryota; Metazoa; Mollusca; Cephalopoda; Sepiida; Sepiidae
Source: the annotation of a GenBank genome assembly
CAUAUCACGUUGAAACAUCAGUUCCUAUACAAUCACUGAAGUUAAGCAAUGUCAAACCUGGCCAGUACCUAGAUGGGUGACUGCUUAGGAAUACUAGGUGUUGUAAG